RNAcentral lists this long non-coding RNA (615 nucleotides) under Ovis aries (sheep). RNAcentral's name for it is "lncRNA (ENSOARG00000026223.1)". The record is from RNAcentral. Lineage: Eukaryota; Metazoa; Chordata; Mammalia; Artiodactyla; Bovidae.
AUGGCAAGAUGUCCCAUCAAGUGGCAUUCACUUGAUCAUUUUUAUCACACGUCUGUAUCUGCUUCCAUAGUGGCUCUUCAGCUGCCAGGACGCUGGUGGUGCUAUUGGUUGGCCUAUGCAUCUGGCCUUUGCCUCAUGGUGGUCACCCAUACUGCCAUCCUCUGGAACAGAAAUAUUUCCUCUUCCAUCCCCAAGAUGAAGCAAUGCCAUUACCCAUUGUGACCCCUACUUCUCACUCAUGCCUGUGGAAAGCAAGACCUUUUGGGAAACAUGAUUGAAGUCUGAGUUACAAGAUGGACAGGGAGGCACCCCCUGCAUUGUUCCCACGUGGAGAAAGACUGAGGCCCAAUCUUGUCUGGGUUUACAUUCUUACAUACCCUCACUGCUGAAACUACAACUUCAGAAGGAAAACCAGCUGUGACGUCUGACAAGGGUGUGAAGUCUCUGGUGCAUGUGGGCAGCUCACAGAUGCACCAGCCUAGGGAGAGGGUGACUGGGGAAACUUCCCAAAGCGGGACUUGCUGCCUUCAAAGAGGGCACGGCAAUGCACACCUGAGGGUUGCUGCUGCAAUGAGCUUGGUGCUCUUGUGCCCAAGGACAGCAUGAAAGAGAUGA